UGAGAGCUUAAAGCCCUGAUCUAGUUUAGGGC
Molecule: non-coding RNA, 32 nt
Filed under: Homo sapiens (human)
Lineage: Eukaryota; Metazoa; Chordata; Mammalia; Primates; Hominidae
Source: RNAcentral